UACGAAGGGGGCGAGCGUUGUUCGGAUUUACUGGGCGUAAAGGGCGCGCAGGCGGUUCUGUUUGUCGAGUGUGAAAGCCCCGGGCUCAACCUGGGAACUGCGCUCGAAACGGCGGAACUAGAGUUCGGGAGAGGAGAGUGGAAUUCCCAGUGUAGAGGUGAAAUUCGUAGAUAUUGGGAAGAACACCGGUGGCGAAGGCGGCUCUCUGGAUCGAUACUGACGCUGAGGCGCGAAAGCGUGGGGAGCAAACAGG
RNAcentral lists this ribosomal RNA (253 nucleotides) under uncultured bacterium. Its description in RNAcentral is "partial 16S ribosomal RNA". It matches the Rfam family "Bacterial small subunit ribosomal RNA", at positions 524 to 776 of the family's 1533-position model. The record is from RNAcentral.